Molecule: long non-coding RNA, 580 nt
Organism: Bufo bufo (common toad)
Lineage: Eukaryota; Metazoa; Chordata; Amphibia; Anura; Bufonidae
Exons: 3
Source: RefSeq, a predicted model, not a curated record
CAUGCUUAAAUAUCCCAAGACUGCCAAAAAGGGCCCCCGACAAAUGACUUUCUCUACUGUCAGGAAGGGCACCUUUUCUUGUUUAAGCUGCAUUCACUGCUCCAGUAUAAUAAAAGGUCCUUAUAUUUCACACCCACAUAGUGGGGAACAAAUUCCUGUAAAGGGCCACUUUACGUGUAAUAGUUCCUUUAUUAUAUAUCUAUUGAAAUGUCCGUGUGAACUCUGCUACGUAGGGGAAACUACAAUGCGCAUGAAGGAUCGAUUUGCGAAACAUAAAUCGACCAUUCGCAACGAAAAUUUAUUAUUACCGAUUCCUUUGCAUUUUUCACAACAGAAACAUAACGUGUCCCAGCUUAGGUUUCAAAUCAUUGAGGAGGUACUACCGCCUCGAAGGGGAGGAAAUAGGGUGGAGUUAUUAUUGAAACGUGAAGCCUAUUUGAUUCACCGCCUACAAACGAUGACACCCAAGGGGUUGAAUCGUGAGUACGCGGUGAGUAGUUUUCUAUGAGCAUAUAUAAGAAUUAUCUAUUGCGAUUAAUUAUGCUUUUACAUUCGUAUAGGUAAUCAUUUUUUGUUUCUA